AACGAACGCUGGCGGCAUGCCUAACACAUGCAAGUCGAACGAGAUCUUCGGGUCUAGUGGCGCACGGGUGCGUAACGCGUGGGAAUCUGCCCUUUGGUUCGGAAUAACAGUUGGAAACGACUGCUAAUACCGGAUGAUGGCGAAAGUCCAAAGAUUUAUCGCCAGAGGAUGAGCCCGCGUAGGAUCAGCUAGUUGGUGUGGUAAAGGCGCACCAAGGCGACGAUCCUUAGCUGGUCUGAGAGGAUGAUCAGCCACACUGGGACUGAGACACGGCCCAGACUCCUACGGGAGGCAGCAGUGGGGAAUAUUGGACAAUGGGCGAAAGCCUGAUCCAGCAAUGCCGCGUGAGUGAUGAAGGCCUUAAGGUUGUAAAGCUCUUUUACCCGGGAUGAUAAUGACAGUACCGGGAGAAUAAGCUCCGGCUAACUCCGUGCCAGCCGCCGCCGUAA
RNAcentral lists this ribosomal RNA (449 nucleotides) under uncultured bacterium. Its description in RNAcentral is "partial 16S ribosomal RNA". It matches the Rfam family "Bacterial small subunit ribosomal RNA", at positions 29 to 523 of the family's 1533-position model. The record is from RNAcentral.